GGAUCGAUGAUGAGCACAAUUAUCUGAGGACGCUGAGGGACGCAUUGCAGAUGUCAAUCUGAGGUCC
This is a small nucleolar RNA of Propithecus coquereli (Coquerel's sifaka), 67 nucleotides long. The record is from Ensembl. Lineage: Eukaryota; Metazoa; Chordata; Mammalia; Primates; Indriidae.